This 243-nucleotide ribosomal RNA is filed under the name uncultured bacterium. Its description in RNAcentral is "partial 16S ribosomal RNA". It matches the Rfam family "Bacterial small subunit ribosomal RNA", at positions 532 to 774 of the family's 1533-position model. The record is from RNAcentral.
GUGCGAGCGUUGUCCGGAAUUACUGGGCGUAAAGAGCUCGUAGGCGGUUUGUCACGUCGUCUGUGAAAUCCCCCGGCUUAACCGGGGGCGUGCAGGCGAUACGGGCAGACUUGAGUACUACAGGGGAGACUGGAAUUCCUGGUGUAGCGGUGAAAUGCGCAGAUAUCAGGAGGAACACCGGUGGCGAAGGCGGGUCUCUGGGUAGUAACUGACGCUGAGGAGCGAAAGCAUGGGGAGCGAACA